UACGAAGGGGGCUAGCGUUGCUCGGAAUCACUGGGCGUAAAGGGUGCGUAGGCGGAUCUUUAAGUCAGGGGUGAAAUCCUGGAGCUCAACUCCAGAACUGCCUUUGAUACUGAGGAUCUCGAGUUCGGGAGAGGUGAGUGGAACUGCGAGUGUAGAGGUGAAAUUCGUAGAUAUUCGCAAGAACACCAGUGGCGAAGGCGGCUCACUGGACCGGUAUUGACGCUGAGGUGCGAAAGCGUGGGGAGCAAACAGGG
This 254-nucleotide ribosomal RNA is filed under the name uncultured bacterium. Its description in RNAcentral is "partial 16S ribosomal RNA". It matches the Rfam family "Bacterial small subunit ribosomal RNA", at positions 524 to 777 of the family's 1533-position model. The record is from RNAcentral.